GGAAUAACCUCGGGAAACUGAGGCUAAUUCCGGAUACCACAUUCAUCCUGGAAUUGGAGAAUGUGCGAAAUGCUCCGGCGCCAUAGGAUGUGGCUGCGGCCGAUUAGGUAGACGGUGGGGUAACGGCCCACCGUGCCGAUAAUCGGUACGGGUCAUGAGAGUGAGAGCCCGGAGACGGACUCUGAGACACGAGUCCGGGCCCUACGGGGCGCAGCAGGCGCGAAACCUUUACACUGCACGACAGUGCGAUAGGGGGACACCGAGUGCGAGGGCAUAGAGCCCUCGCUUUUCUGAACCGUAAGGAGGUUCAGGAACAAGGGCUGGGCAAGACCGGUGCCAGCCGCCGCGGUAACACCGGCAGCCCAAGUGAUGGCCGAUAUUAUUGGGCCUAAAGCGUCCGUAGCUGGCCGUGCAAGUUCGUCGGGAAAUCCACUCGCUUAACGAGUGGGCGUCCGGCGAAAACUGCUCGGCUUGGGACCGGAAGAUCCAAGGGGUACGUCCGGGGUAGGAGUGAAAUCCCGUAAUCCUGGACGGACCACCGAUGGCGAAAGCACCUUGGAAGGACGGAUCCGACAGUGAGGGACGAAAGCUAGGGUCUCGAACCGGAUUAGAUACCCGGGUAGUCCUAGCCGUAAACGAUGCUCGCUAGGUGUGGCGCAGGCUACGAGCCUGCGCUGUGCCGUAGGGAAGCCGUGAAGCGAGCCGCCUGGGAAGUACGUCUGCAAGGAUGAAACUUAAAGGAAUUGGCGGGGGAGCACUACAACCGGAGGAGCCUGCGGUUUAAUUGGACUCAACGCCGGACAUCUCACCAGCUCCGACAGCAGUAAUGACGGUCAGGUUGAUGACCUUACCCGACGCUGCUGAGAGGAGGUGCAUGGCCGCCGUCAGCUCGUACCGUGAGGCGUCCUGUUAAGUCAGGCAACGAGCGAGACCCGCACCUCUAGUUGCCAGCAGCAUCUUGCGAUGGCUGGGUACACUAGGGGGACUGCCGUCGCUAAGACGGAGGAAGGAACGGGCAACGGUAGGUCAGUAUGCCCCGAAUGAGCUGGGCUACACGCGGGCUACAAUGGCCAAGACAGUGGGAUGCGACACCGAGAGGUGAAGCUAAUCUCCUAAACUUGGUCGUAGUUCGGAUUGCGGACUGAAACCCGUCCGCAUGAAGCUGGAUUCGGUAGUA
This 1177-nucleotide ribosomal RNA is filed under the name Natronomonas pharaonis. Its description in RNAcentral is "bacterial SSU rRNA". It matches the Rfam family "Archaeal small subunit ribosomal RNA", at positions 123 to 1296 of the family's 1478-position model. Lineage: Archaea; Methanobacteriati; Methanobacteriota; Halobacteria; Halobacteriales; Natronomonadaceae. The record is from RNAcentral.